CAUGAAUUCUUCUGUAAUAUAUUUUCGUACACUUAUAAUUCAAUCUUUUUUUGGUUUAGAUGUGCAUCAUAAAUCUUAAUAAACCAAAAUCCGAUGCUGUGCUCGGAAAAUCCACACACGAAGAUACUGUAGAGGGCAGCGUUGUUGCGUCUUUAAUGAGAUGGCUAGUUAGUUUGAAAAAAAAAAUAUGAUGGAAAAAUACUGAUAAAAGAAAAAAUACGCUUCUUUUGUGUACACGGAACCUUUCCUGCUAGUUG
Pelobates cultripes (western spadefoot toad) is the source of this 257-nucleotide non-coding RNA. The record is from the annotation of a GenBank genome assembly. NCBI's taxonomy places the organism in Eukaryota, Metazoa, Chordata, Amphibia, Anura, Pelobatidae.